Molecule: ribosomal RNA, 514 nt
Filed under: Streptococcus suis
Lineage: Bacteria; Bacillati; Bacillota; Bacilli; Lactobacillales; Streptococcaceae
Description: bacterial SSU rRNA
Rfam family: Bacterial small subunit ribosomal RNA
Source: RNAcentral
GAGAACGCUGGCGGCGUGCCUAAUACAUGCAAGUAGAACGCUGAAGUCUGGUGCUUGCACUAGACGGAUGAGUUGCGAACGGGUGAGUAACGCGUAGGUAACCUGCCUCAUAGCGGGGGAUAACUAUUGGAAACGAUAGCUAAUACCGCAUAACAGUAUUUACCGCAUGGUAGAUAUUUGAAAGGAGCAAUUGCUUCACUAUGAGAUGGACCUGCGUUGUAUUAGCUAGUUGGUGAGGUAACGGCUCACCAAGGCUUCGAUACAUAGCCGACCUGAGAGGGUGAUCGGCCACACUGGGACUGAGACACGGCCCAGACUCCUACGGGAGGCAGCAGUAGGGAAUCUUCGGCAAUGGGGGCAACCCUGACCGAGCAACGCCGCGUGAGUGAAGAAGGUUUUCGGAUCGUAAAGCUCUGUUGUAAGAGAAGAACUGUGAGAAGAGUGGAAAGUUUCUCACUUGACGGUAUCUUACCAGAAAGGGACGGCUAACUACGUGCCAGCCGCCGCGGUAAUU